This 482-nucleotide ribosomal RNA is filed under the name uncultured bacterium. Its description in RNAcentral is "partial 16S ribosomal RNA". It matches the Rfam family "Bacterial small subunit ribosomal RNA", at positions 28 to 523 of the family's 1533-position model. The record is from RNAcentral.
GACGAACGCUGGCGGCGUGCUUAACACAUGCAAGUCGAACGAUGAAGAAGAGCUUGCUCUUCGGAUUAGUGGCGAACGGGUGAGUAACACGUGACUAACCUGCCCCUUUCUCUGGGAUAACGCUCCGAAAGGAGUGCUAAUACCGGAUACUCACACCGAGGCACAUGCCUUGGUGUGGAAAGCUUUUCGGAAAGGGAUGGAGUCGCGGCCUAUCAGCUUGUUGGUGAGGUAACGGCUCACCAAGGCGACGACGGGUAGCCGGCCUGAGAGGGCGACCGGCCACACUGGGACUGAGACACGGCCCAGACUCCUACGGGAGGCAGCAGUGGGGAAUAUUGCACGAUGGGCGCAAGCCUGAUGCAGCGACGCCGCGUGAGGGAUGAAGGUCUUCGGAUUGUAAACCUCUUUCAGUAGGGACGAAGCGAAAGUGACGGUACCUAAAGAAGAAGCACCGGCUAACUACGUGCCAGCCGCCGCCGUAA